UACGUAGGGGGCGAGCGUUGUCCGGAUUCAUUGGGCGUAAAGAGCUCGUAGGCGGCUUGCUAAGUCAGGUGUGAAAUCUCCAGGCUCAACCUGGAGUCGCCACCUGAUACUGGUAUGGCUUGAGUCCGGUAGGGGAUCACGGAAUUCCUGGUGUAGCGGUGAAAUGCGCAGAUAUCGGGAGGAACACCUAUGGCGAAGGCAGCUCGCUGGGACGUUACUGACGCUGAGACGCGAAAGCGUGGGGAGCAAACAGG
RNAcentral lists this ribosomal RNA (254 nucleotides) under uncultured bacterium. Its description in RNAcentral is "partial 16S ribosomal RNA". It matches the Rfam family "Bacterial small subunit ribosomal RNA", at positions 524 to 776 of the family's 1533-position model. The record is from RNAcentral.